RNAcentral lists this ribosomal RNA (1463 nucleotides) under uncultured Bordetella sp. RNAcentral describes it as "partial 16S-23S ribosomal RNA intergenic spacer". It matches the Rfam family "Bacterial small subunit ribosomal RNA". The record is from RNAcentral. Lineage: Bacteria; Pseudomonadati; Pseudomonadota; Betaproteobacteria; Burkholderiales; Alcaligenaceae.
GGUUUGAUCCUGUCUAGAUUGAACGCUGGCGGAUGCUUUGCCACAUGCAAGUCGAACGGCAGCACGGACUUCGGUCUGGUGGCGAGUGGCGAACGGUGAGCAAUGUAUCGGAACGUGCCUAGUAGCGGGGGAUAACUACGCGAAAGCGUAGCUUACCGCAUACGCCCUUUCGGGGGAAAGCGGGGGACCUUCGGGCCUCGCAGCAAAUUAUUAGAGCGGCCGAUAUCGGAUUAGCUUAGUUAUGGGGUAACGGCUCACUGAAGGCGACGAUCCGUAGCUGGUUUGAGAGGACGACCAGCCACACUGGGCCGAGAUACCGGCCCAGACUCCUACGGGAGGCAGCAGUGGGGAAUUUUGGACAAUGGGGAAACCCUGAUCCAGCCAUCUCGCGUGUGUGAAGGCCUUCGGGUUGUAAAGCACUUUUGGCAGGAAAGAAACGGCACGAUAAUACCCCAUGCAACUGACGGUACCUGCAGAAUAAGCACCGGCUAACUACGUGCCAGCAGCCGCGGUAAUACGUAGGGUGCAAGCGUUAAUCGGAAUCUUAAGCGUGCGCAGGCGGUUCGGAAAGAAAGAUGUGAAAUCCCAGAGCUAACUUUGGAACUGCAUUUUUAACUACCGAGCCAGAGGUCAGAGGGAGGUGGAAUUCCGCGUGUAGCAGUGAAAUGCGUAGAUAUGCGGAGGAACACCGAUGGCGAAGGCAGCCUCCGGGAUAACACUGACGCUCAUGCAAUGAAAGCGUGGGGAGGCAAACAGGAUUAGAUACCGGUAGUCCACGCCCCUAAACGAUGUCAACUAGCUGUUGGGGCCUUCGGGCCGGUAGCGCAGCCACCGUGUGAAGUUGACUGCCUGGGGAGUAUUGGUCAAAGAUUAAAACUCAAAAGGAAUUGACGGGGACCCGCACAAGCGGUGGAUGAUGUGGAUUAAUUCGAUGCAACGCGAAAACCUUACCUACCUCCUUGACAUGUCUGAAUCCCGAAGAGACGGGGAGUGCUCGCAAGAGAACCGGAACACAGGUGUUGCAUGGCUGUCGUCAGCUUCGUGUCGAGAUGUUGGGUUAAGUCCCGCAACGAGCGCAACCUUAUUAUUAGCAUGAAAGGUUAAUUUAAUGAGACUGCCGGUGACAAACCGGAGGAAGGUGGGGAUGACGUCAAGUCCUCAUGGCCCGGCGGGCAGGGUCGACACGUCAAGUACAAUGGUCGGGACAGAGUGGUCGCCAACUCCGCGAGGCCAAUCCCAGAAACCUGAUCGUAGUCCGGAUCGCAGUCUGCAACUCGACUGCGUGAAGUCGGAAUCGCUAGUAAUCGCGGAUCAGCAUGUCGCGGGUGAAUACGUUCCCGGGUCUGUACACACCGCCCGUCACACCAUGGGAGUGGGUUUUACCAGAAGUAGUUAGCCUAACCGUAAGGGAGGGCGAUUAUCAUGGUAGGAUUCAUGACUGGGGUGAAGUCGGAAUAAGGUAA